AUUGAACGCUGGCGGCAUGCCUUACACAUGCAAGUCGAACGGCAGCACGGGAGCAAUCCUGGUGGCGAGUGGCGAACGGGUGAGUAAUAUAUCGGAACGUGCCCAGUCGUGGGGGAUAACGUAGCGAAAGCUACGCUAAUACCGCAUACGAUCUAUGGAUGAAAGCGGGGGAUCGCAAGACCUCGCGCGAUUCGAGCGGCCGAUAUCAGAUUAGGUAGUUGGUGAGGUAAAGGCUCACCAAGCCGACGAUCUGUAGCUGGUCUGAGAGGACGACCAGCCACACUGGGACUGAGACACGGCCCAGACUCCUACGGGAGGCAGCAGUGGGGAAUUUUGGACAAUGGGCGCAAGCCUGAUCCAGCAAUGCCGCGUGCAGGAUGAAGGCCUUCGGGUUGUAAACUGCUUUUGUACGGAACGAAACGGCGAGCUCUAAUACAGCUUGCUAAUGACGGUGCCGUAAGAAUAAGCACCGGCUAACUACGUGCCAGCCGCCGCCGUAA
This 500-nucleotide ribosomal RNA is filed under the name uncultured bacterium. RNAcentral describes it as "partial 16S ribosomal RNA". It matches the Rfam family "Bacterial small subunit ribosomal RNA", at positions 30 to 523 of the family's 1533-position model. The record is from RNAcentral.